RNAcentral lists this ribosomal RNA (456 nucleotides) under uncultured bacterium. Its description in RNAcentral is "bacterial SSU rRNA". It matches the Rfam family "Bacterial small subunit ribosomal RNA", at positions 340 to 785 of the family's 1533-position model. The record is from RNAcentral.
UACGGAAGGCAGCAGUGGGGAAUAUUGCACAAUGGGCGCAAGCCUGAUGCAGCCAUGCCGCGUGUAUGAAGAAGGCCUUCGGGUUGUAAAGUACUUUUCAGCGGGGAGGAAGGCGGUGAAGUUAAUAGCUUCACCGAUUGACGUUACCCGCAGAAGAAGCACCGGCUAACUCCGUGCCAGCAGCCGCGGUAAUACGGAGGGUGCAAGCGUUAAUCGGAAUUACUGGGCGUAAAAGCGCACGCAGGCGGUCUGUCAAGUCGGAUGUGAAAUCCCCGGGCUUAACCUGGGAACUGCAUUCGAAACUGGCAGGCUAGAGUCUUGUAGAGGGGGUAGAAGUUCCAGGUGUAGCGGUGAAAUGCGUAGAGAUCUGGAGGAAUACCGGUGGCGAAGGCGGCCCCUGGGACAAAGCUGACGCUCAGGUGCGAAAGCGUGGGGAGCAAACGAGGAUUAGGAUAC